This 2954-nucleotide long non-coding RNA is filed under the name Varroa destructor (honeybee mite). RNAcentral's name for it is "uncharacterized LOC111254570". The record is from RNAcentral. Lineage: Eukaryota; Metazoa; Arthropoda; Arachnida; Mesostigmata; Varroidae.
CGCACGAGAGCGCUAUCGGUUCGACCUGCCCGUCCGAUAGACGACGGGUGUACUAGUAAUGUUCAUAGGAAGAGAAGACACCGCACUCAUCACUGGCUUCAACUUGAAACAGCUUAUAUUACUCGAUCUGACUAUCGUGGUUUACCACAUAAACAAUAUAGACUAUGUCACAGUGCGCACAAAGAUGGCAGUACCAUGAAGAAGGGCUAUCCCAUAAAGAAAUGUACUUCCGCAGACAAGGCUGUGCUGACCCAACACGCUAAAUAAGAACGUAAAUGACGCUUGACCUUUGCUGGUGCAUCAGGGACCCUAUCCCCCGUUUGGCUGAACUGGUGGGCGAAUCACUAACUUAUGCUUCUGCUAGUGCCUCUGAUGAAAUCGAUGAUAGGUAAGUGGUCAGGCGAAUCCUGGUCUUUCUCUUUGAAGGUGUAAUUAACAUUGUUUUGCUUAUUUGCGUUGGUAGACAGUAUCCGGAACCUGAUCUCCUCGUUAUUCCCCACACCCGAUGACCCCAUAAAUACUGCAGCAAGUUCCAAGUCAUGAUGAACUGGUAGAGGCCUUUCGCAAUAGCCCUGCAAAUUCGUGGAACGCUUCGAGCGCUUAUCGUUUCUAUGAGAUUUCGCCUCUGAUUGACGACAGCCAAUAAAGACCAUAUCAAAGAUAAGAAAGAAGAAAAAUCCUGUUCUCGAAAUAAGAAGUAGUUUGACAAGUAUAAAAUCGGCCACCAAGGACCUUGAUGCUACUAUACUGACAUCGAACAGCUAGCUAUUUAGUUAAAUCUAAAAAAAAAUUUAAAGAGAGCGUCGCGCGAAACGCUUCCAGUUUGGUUUCUCAAAUGUAGUCGUACCAGAGACAACCUGAGCCAGUUCGCGCAGAAUAAACGUUAUUCGAUUUUUGGUCGCAAUAGAAAAUACUUUAUCAGUUCUAUUUUAUUAGGUAGCUUUAUAUGUGUAGGUUUGCCAACUUUAAGAAGUAUGUGUCAUCAUAUUUCAAAACUUACCUAGAUCAGGUCCUUUUUGAAAAUAUUAACUUAUUUUUCGUAGGUAUAUAUAAUGUUUUAUCAUACAUAAUUAAACUUGUUGUUUCUUUCAAGGAAACAGCGAAAAUACAUGCAGUCCACAAACAAAUGCCAAGGUUUGACGCAAAAUACCCCUAUACAGUCCUAGCGAUGAGACACUGCCAUGCUGUGUAAUGUAUGGAGAGGUUAUAUCUCUCCAGAAACGCAAUACGACUCCAAGACGCAUACGAGCCGGAGAACAAACAAUGAGGAAAUCUCACUCUAAUAACAGCGCCCGUAUCAAUUUGUCUUUGAACUCGAGAAGUAUGUGAACGCAAGAAAAGAGUUUGUCCUUCUAAAAUAUCAUAGCGGACGUACAUUAUCUAAAUCAUACAGAAUGUCACGCUACUCUUAUUGGAUACCUAAGGAAGUAGAGUGCGGUUGUUUACCUUAGAGUUACAUUACUUCAUUAGAGGAACUACAUCGGAUAGCAUUAACUCACACUAGUCUACUUGACUGUGAAAUACAGAACUUCUGUUAUGAUGGGAACAAGGUGUAAUGUCUUGUUUAUGUUCUUGAAAGAUUUAAUUUUACUUAUCAAAGCAACGUUUUUUCAGAAGAAUUUCCAAAUGGUCUUUCGUUUGGGACUAACAUAUUUUUUUGUUUUAGCGAUUAAACUAAGGUUUCGUGGCUCCGUAUACUGUGUAGUGGUCAUAACACGAUCGGGGGGAUAAUUGACCCUGGAUAAACUGUUAACUUCUAAAGCGCAAAUAAAUAUAAAGAAGUUUUCGAACACCGCUUAUUUGCUUCCAACCACCGCUGAAACUUAUUCAACUCGGCCGGUUCAUCCUACACAAAGCAGACUCGUUAUUAUAUCAGGAGCAAAGCUAGAAGUGAGUGAGGUUAACUAAAAUUUGUGCUAUUAUUUCACAUGUAAAAAGUAGAAUCAGCAUUGUCUCAAUAUAUAAAUACAUAUACAUACAUACAUAAAAUAAAUAAAUAUACAUAAAUAUAGAUACAUGUAUAUAUAGAAACACCUCAUUACCAAUUGACCGUGAAAUAUUUUAACAUCCGCUCCGCAGCAAAUAGAGCUAGCUUCGAUCAAACGUAGUUUUCUCCUCUACGAGCUGGCCCUAUGUCGUUGAUAAUACCCUCAUUUCGGACUUCUAAGCCCACACGAUGCUUCGAUUUGAAAACACAAAAAUAUCAAGCCAACACAACUGUACGCAGGUCUGGUUUUUCUUAUAGGUAGGAAACUAACGAAAUAAACAACGAAUAUAAGGAUGGAUCUGAAUAGGUCUGCUUGCCUCAAGCUGUCAGUCAAUCCUUGGGGCUUCUCAGAUGUAAUAGAAAAAAACGUACCCACGUUUCUAUGCGCCCAUUACGUUGAUGAUGGUUUUUUGCACGCUCAUCAACGCAUGUUCCUUUUGCCUGGGAAUACGAUCGCCUACACCCAACGGUCAAUAUCAGUCGAGUGACUGGUAUGACACCGCUUUAACAAUUCGCAACGUUGUCUCCCAACACGAAAAUACCAUAAUGUCCACUAACUUUUGACUUAAUUUCUUUUUUUUUGUCUUGUUCCUGAUAACAAUGGGCUGUACAAUUUAAUUUAGUACAUUGCGCUCUACGCUACCGUAUUUUUACAUCAAUGCCACGAGACUAUUAUUGAUACGGAGGUAGUAUAACCCUUAGCAGCUUCUUAUCGAUUUGUCGAACACCUUCGGCUACGUUUGAAACAAGACAGGAUUUAUGUUAUUGUGUGAACGUGAUGCUACGUUAUGGGAAGGCGUAUCCAAGGGUGAUACCAACUCUUCUUCCAAGAUUGCCUGUAGAUAUUGUCACUGCAAAGAACUCGUCUCGGCAGGGCAAACUCACGCGAAGAGCAUAUUUUAUAGUUAACUCCUUACGGAAACCAACAAAUUUAGGGGAAAGAGCUUAUACAGCCUAAUUUAAUGCG